Molecule: non-coding RNA, 649 nt
Organism: Biomphalaria pfeifferi
Lineage: Eukaryota; Metazoa; Mollusca; Gastropoda; Planorbidae
Source: the annotation of a GenBank genome assembly
AGAUAGAUAGAUAGAUAGAUAGAUAGAUAGAUAGAUAGAUAGAGUGAGAGAUAGAGAGAAAGAGAGAAAAAGAGAAAUAGAGCGAUAAGUAAAGAUUUAAUUAGAUCAUUUUCUUAUGUUGAUUCCAGAGGAGUUUCCCUGACUCUUCAUAUCUACAGUAAAAAAAUGACAAAGUUGACUUGAACACUUGUUUUAAGAUUAAUAAUGCUUUCACUAGAGUGCUGUGACAUGACCAACAUUAGUGAUGUAACACAAGCUGCAUAGCAUACAACAUUAUGUAAAAUACAUAUUGUUAUAUAGGGUUUACAAAAAGAUUCCAUUAAUUAAUGGCAUUUAUAUGAUUAGGUUUUUUAUUUAAAUGUUAUUUGCAUUGACCGUUUCUAUUUUCAUAUUAUUGUGGUGUAAUGAAAACACAAUUUUUCUGAUAAAAUGGAAGACGGAGAUCGUCUUCAAAAGGUCAUCUGUUGUUAUAGUAUAGCGUCAACGUAAGUACUGGGAGACCAACACAAUGGCCAGCCUUAGUUUCGUGUUUCCAACGUGCUUCCAGUAUCCACUACAGCUAGAGAGAAGUGCACUGAAUAAUAGAAGAGUUACAAGGACAUAGGCAACACGUCUCUCUUUAUCUCUUUCUUUCUUUCUCUCUUCUUUC